AAUAAGUGCAGUCGUGGAUAUUCGUGUUCAACGUUUGACCGUCCGUCUUAUUUAAAAAUUUAUUAAAAAUUUAAAAAUAUUUAGUCACACAUAAAAUACUAUUCAUGUUUUAUCAUCUAAUAGUAAUAAAAAUAUUAAUCAUAAAAUUUUUUUAAAUAAGACGAACGGUCUAAAACUAUAUUUAUUUUGAGACGGAGGGAGUACCA
Molecule: microRNA precursor, 206 nt
Organism: Oryza sativa Japonica Group (Japanese rice)
Lineage: Eukaryota; Viridiplantae; Streptophyta; Magnoliopsida; Poales; Poaceae
Rfam family: MIR812 microRNA precursor family
Source: Rfam